ACACACAGAUAUCUCCUUUACUAAUCACCUCUUCAUAUGAUCGAAUCUACACAAACAGACUGACAGCCUGGACUGCUCAGGUAUGCUCUCUACAUUGCCACUGGAAGAGCAUUUGAUUUCAGUCAGGAAGACAUGCCAAAA
This is a long non-coding RNA of Polypterus senegalus (gray bichir), 141 nucleotides long. RefSeq lists it as uncharacterized. The record is from RefSeq and is a predicted model, not a curated record. NCBI's taxonomy places the organism in Eukaryota, Metazoa, Chordata, Cladistia, Polypteriformes, Polypteridae. The transcript has 3 exons.